RNAcentral lists this transfer RNA (78 nucleotides) under Cavia porcellus (domestic guinea pig). It matches the Rfam family "tRNA". From Rfam's summary of the family: Transfer RNA (tRNA) molecules are approximately 80 nucleotides in length. Their secondary structure includes four short double-helical elements and three loops (D, anti-codon, and T loops). Further hydrogen bonds mediate the characteristic L-shaped molecular structure. tRNAs have two regions of fundamental functional importance: the anti-codon, which is responsible for specific mRNA codon recognition, and the 3' end, to which the tRNAs corresponding amino acid is attached (by aminoacyl-tRNA synthetases). tRNAs cope with the degeneracy of the genetic code in two manners: having more than one tRNA (with a specific anti-codon) for a particular amino acid; and 'wobble' base-pairing, i.e. permitting non-standard base-pairing at the 3rd anti-codon position. Lineage: Eukaryota; Metazoa; Chordata; Mammalia; Rodentia; Caviidae. The record is from Rfam by way of RNAcentral.
GGAUUUGUAGCUUAGUAGUAGAGCACUGAGUAGUGCUAGUUAUGCAUGAGACCCUGGGUUCAACCCCCAGUACCUCCA